This is a long non-coding RNA of Crotalus tigris (Tiger rattlesnake), 2510 nucleotides long. RefSeq lists it as uncharacterized. NCBI's taxonomy places the organism in Eukaryota, Metazoa, Chordata, Lepidosauria, Squamata, Viperidae. The record is from RefSeq and is a predicted model, not a curated record. The transcript is spliced from 3 exons.
AAACGCGCUGGCAGGUUUGCUCCGCUGACGAUUGGGAAUGGUAGACCGGUAGAUGUACGGUUUGCUCUGUGUGCUGAGUGAUGUAUAUCCCGUCUAGGAAGCUACGUUGAGGAAGGACAGAAAAAUCCUCCUCUUCGUUUAAGAAGCCGGAGUUCCUCAGACCUUCAUCCUUGCCGUGCUUCAUCCCUCAGAAAUACCUCUUCCAUCUCUGGAAUUGCUGGAGCCGUUGAGAAGUCUCUGAAUCAGUUGCCCGUGCUUUUCUCUCCACCCAGCGAAAUAACUUCCUAUACAGCUUCUCCAAUCUGCAUAAUAGCUAGGAAUGGCCUUGAAGGACAGAGGGAAGAUCCUUUGCCAAGACUAUGGUCAGACUUCUUUUACACCAUGGAAUCUGAAGAUGCAGACGGGGUCCUCUGUGGUUACAGUGCUACCAUCAGUAAUCUUGACCAGUACUCUUCCUGUCUCCUCUGUGUGGUCAGGCAAGUAUGUGUGCAGCUGGAUUUGGGAAAUCAAACACUUUGAAGGAGAGCAAGAUAUUGCCCAUGGCAGGCAGACACAAUAGUUUAAUUUCUGAAUAUACCUUUCUUUGACUCAGUCUACACUGACAACAUUUUGUCAGUCUCUAGCAUCCUUUUCUGAAAAGGAUUGUGGAGAACAUGGUAGCAGUUCAAUCUCAGACAAUACUGGAAGUUUUAACAAUACAGUUUUAUUUUGAUUCUUUCCAGUCAAGUUUCAGACCCAGUUGUAGGACAGAAACAACUUUGGACACUCCAGUAGACAAUUGUCAAAAACUGGAUGGGGCAAUGCACCCACCGUGAUCUUAGACCUAUAUGCUAUUUCAUGCCACAUAGUUUAAAUUCAACAUUAGAAGCAGUCUCCAAAGAGAGCCAAAUCAUUAACUGGUUCAAAAUUGGUAAUAAGAUUCCUAACAAGACAAUGCUGUAAGUAAAAUUAUCUCUAUUCUGAAGUAAUUGAAUUGGCUGCCACCUGACUUCAGACCCAAAUCAAAGUGCUAGUCAUUUUAAAGUCCUUCUUGGCCCUAUACUGGAUUGUAUUGAACAAUAUCUUGGCAAGUUAGUAUGUGGCUGGCUAGUACAAACAUCUAGAGAGGUUGAGCCAACCUACCUCCCCUCGAUAAGAUCCAUGAGAAGUAGGACAAGAGGCUUUCUCUUCGUUACCCCUAGUGGUGAGGAUGGCCUCCUUCCAGAUAUUCGUGUUAUUCCAGCAGACCCCCAGUUUGUCCUUUUGUGUGUUUAAUUUUUUUUGUCUUUCUUUGGACUUAACUAUAAUUUUAACUCCUUACCCUGUAUUUGCCACUCAUAAUCCUAGUAUACAGGUGUAGCUUAUACUGUACAUGUGGUAAAUAAAUUAAUAACUAGAAGAUCUUCAGCCUUUUGAAGGUUGUAACUAAUUUUUAUUGUUAAAAAGAAAGCAAGCUUCUGGACCUUUGACAUUCUUUCAUGCAUCCAAUACAUUACUCAUGAUUCAAGAAAGGUAAACAAGGGAUUUGUAAAAGCAUGUAAUUUAAAAUCUAGCAUAUUUCUCUACUGGAAAAAAAGGUUGAUUCAAUCAAAUAUGUCAUCACACAUUUUUAGUAAUUUCUGAGUUCCCAGUCACUUGGAUCCCUGUCAGCAAGUUCAUGCACUUUCAUUUUCCCCUGUUUGCCCCAGGCUCUGAAUUUUUUUUUUUAAAAAAACCUGGUGACUAAGCGAUGUUAUGCCAGUAGCUGAUAAUUAGCUAAAUUUCAUAGAAACAGGUUAUAUAAUCCAAUAUGUUAUUAAUAUUGAGUUGUAUUUGUUGUUGCUUUUAUUGAGUGGCACGAUUGAUCUUGGGAAUAUGUACAUUCAUAGAAUUAUUGCAGCAUGAACUGGCAUUCAACUUUGCACUGAUGAAUAUUUCAAGCAGACUGCACGGUUUAUAUCACUAGACAUUGCAGAUGUUGAAAUAAUGACAUAAACAGAAAAUGAUGUGGAUUAUGUAAUAUUUCAGCUGUCGGGGAAGAUAUUCCUAUAUUUUCAAUAUAGGACCAAUAUUUUCAGGAAGGCUUAAAGGUCCACACUUAUGUAUAAUAAAAAUGAACUAAAACAGAAAAAUCUGUUUUACAAAUGCAUUUUACAAAAAUGAAUUUUACAUGCUUCUUGGAUGUUCAUAUAUGGCUUGAAUUAGGAAAUAUGGUAAAUAGAAUUAACUUGUCAUUUUUGAUAUCCUUAAAAGAAGCAACAUUUAUAGGAAAAGAGUUUUAAAAAAGCAUAAUGGCAAAUAAUAGCAUCACAAUGCAAGUGUUGCUCCUUUGAUACAUGUAUUCACAUUGUACAAAAGGGGCAAGGCUUUUAUCAUGGGGCUACAUAGGCCAUUUUGCUUUUUUUUAACCACCUCACUGACACUAUUGGAUGUAUCAUAUUUAUUUAUAAUACACAUACAUUAUCAAAUUUUAAUGCGUACAAACUAAAAAUAGAUACAUUAUGGUUCAGCCGAACAGUUUUAAUAUAUAAUUUUGUGUAGUAGACAUCUCU